Grus americana (Whooping crane) is the source of this 1753-nucleotide long non-coding RNA. RefSeq lists it as uncharacterized. NCBI's taxonomy places the organism in Eukaryota, Metazoa, Chordata, Aves, Gruiformes, Gruidae. The transcript has 2 exons. The record is from RefSeq and is a predicted model, not a curated record.
CGCCCUCCCCGCCGUGCCCCCUUAAAGAGCUCUGCCUUUUACGGUGGCGCCGGAGGGUCAAAAAAAAGAGGGGACUCGGGGAGGGGGGGGGGCAGCGGAGAGGCCCCCACACACACACCGGGCACGGCGGGACUAGGUCGCGGCGGGAGCAUCACCGCCACCGGGCAGGUUUCCGUCCGCCCGCCCGUAAACGCCCGGGGAGGGAAGUGUGGGCAGCAACGGUAGCCCCGAGCCCGCAUGCAGCCGUCCCGAGCCCCGCCGGUGCUGCCCCGGGAUUCGGAGGAGGGAAAGGGCAGGUCCCCCUGCGGAAACUCGGCCACCGCUGGCCCCGCUGCCCCCCUCCUUCCCUCCGAGCCGCAGUGACAGCCCGCCUGCCGAGCGCUCGGCUCUCCCGGUGGGCUCCGGGCCGCCCCUGGAAGUGGUGCCGGGAGAAGCAGCGGAUUCCCGGGCAGGAAGGGGCAGGGGGACCCGCCGCCAAAGUCUGGACGCAGUGCCAGCCUUGCCCCAGGACAGCAAGCUGUGAACGGGGGGAGCCGGGUCCCACCGCCGACUGAAGUUUGGGGGAGCCAGAAAAGAUGCGGGGGACAGCAGAAGGCCGGGGGCGCGGGGGCCGCCGCCAGGCCGGCGAUCCGGGAACAGUCAGAGGAGCGAGCGCCGGUGCCGGGAACGCGCAGGCUGCGGAGGAGGAGAGAGCGCAGCGGCUGCCGCCAGCCAGGUCUCCUGCCGUCCCUUUCCGAAAGGAGCCUCAAAGUUUGGAGAACUCUCGUUUUUCUUUUUAAAUAACCCGAUCUAACUUUUCUCCCUUUUUUUUUUUCCUCCUAAAUCUGAUAAAGCUCAGCAGAAGCUCUUACAUGGAAGUUAACCUUUUCCACCAGCUAUCGAAUAAUUGAAUAAUGUUUUGUUCUUACCUUUGACGUUGAACUAUGAAUUCCCGCGGAUCAAUGGCCAGAAAGUUAGAAGAAAUGGUGAUUUAGGACUUCAGUACUUCUGGAAAAAAAAAUGCCAAUGGUUUAGCCAGGAUCUUCCCUGUCUGAUUCGUUACUAUUAUUAUAUCUGAUGAUGUGGAUGGAUGGAGAGAUUCAAUCCAAGCCCAUUAAUGAGCUAUUUUAUAAACACCACCGUCUGAAGAUCUUCAUUUACAUUUUGUCAGUGAUCCGUUCCUUAACAGCGGAGACGUGUGGCGACAGCGCGAUUACAGGACUUUAGUAAAGCUCCUAUAAGAGUACGACUGGCUUGUUAAUCGAUUAAUAUUUUAUUGAGUGUAAAUAUUUUAUAAAGUUUUUAGGAAAACUAUCGAUUCUAAAUUAUUAAACUAGUCAGAAGGGCAUUUGAAUAAUGCAUACAAUUAAAUACAUUUAAAUAUAUAUGUAGCGAUUGCUUUCUUUGCAAUGAAUCCCCUGCACCUUUCUCUCGCGUUCGGUUUUUUCCCCACCGGCAGCUGGUUUUGCGCAUUCACUGGAAUAUCAGGACUGCCGAAUACGUGUUUAUGCCUGUAUUUAUAAACCGAACGUUUACAGAAAAUAUGUUUUUAACUUUGAAAUCGGGAACGAUAAUAAUUUGAAAAUUUCGACGCGGAAGCAAAGGGGCUUGUUAGUAAAACUGAGGGGAAACCGAAUGGAGCGCGCAUAAAUUCUGCUGAUUGUUAACUUCUGUUUUGUAAACAUCUUUUAAUUUAGACAGAUUUUAUGAUACACGAUGCUUAUUUUUCUUUUACAUAUUUUUCCCAAUAAAAGCCUUUUCUUUCUGUUUCAAA